Molecule: ribosomal RNA, 801 nt
Filed under: Triticum aestivum (bread wheat)
Lineage: Eukaryota; Viridiplantae; Streptophyta; Magnoliopsida; Poales; Poaceae
Description: partial small subunit ribosomal RNA
Source: RNAcentral
AUGAAAGGACAACACCAAGGUGUUCAGAGUCGCUUCCUUAAAGAAAACCCCAAAGCAUUGUAUAUGCCAUGUGCAUGUCAUAGUUUGAAUCUCACUCUUUGUGAUAUGGCAAAAUCUUGCAAACAGGCUAUUACAUUCUUUGGUAUUAUACAACGGAUAUACGUGUUGUUUUCACGUUCUACUAAAAGGUGGAAGAUCUUACUUGACAAUCUCCCAAAAGAAACAAAACUAACUCUCAAGCCUUUGUCCAGUACUUGUUGGGAGAGUCGAAUAAAGAGUGUGCAGCCUAUCAAGUACCAAGCUAUCCAUGUAAUUUCAGCUUUGAAGGAAUUGGAGGAGACUUCUACUGAUGACCCAGCAGCUGUAAGUGAUGCUCAAUCUUUGGUCAGUGCACUUGAGAAUUUUGAAACUUUAGUUGGCAUGGUUAUCUGGCAUGAUGUUUUGUUCUCUGUAAAUAUGGUGAGCCAAAAGUUGCAGGAAAAGAUGGUGUGCAUUGAUGCUACUAUAAAACACAUUGACGGGGUCAUAUUAUAUUUUAAGAAGUAUAGAGAUGAAGGCUUUCAAGCUAGUAUUGAGAUAGCAAAAGCCAUUGCAUCUGAUAUGGACAUAGAGCCAGAAUUUCCUUCAAAACGUCAACAGAAAAGAAAGAGGCAUCAUGAUGAAAUCAAUGAUCAAGAAGAAGAAAUACAAUUGUCAGCUAUGGAAUCCUUCAGAGUUAAUUACUUUCUAGUCAUUGUUGACAAUGCAAUUCUUUCAUUGACCAGCCGCUUUGAUCAGUUGAAGAAAUUUGAAAAGAGUUAA